AGCCUUAAGGUACUUAUUUAAGGUUAAACCUGCCCAAUGUAAAUUUUAAUAAAUGGCCGCGGUACUUUGACCGUGCUAAGGUAGCGCAAUCAAUUGGCUUUUAAUUGAAGUCAGGUAUGAAUGGAAUCACGGGGUUAAGCUGUCUCUUAAUUAUUUUAUUGAAAUUACUAUAUAGGUGAAAAAGCCUAUAAACAGAAAAAGGACGAGAAGACCCUUAGAGUUUAUCUAAAAUUGAAAAUAAUUUUCAAAACAGUUUUGUUGGGGCAACAGGGGAGCAAUUUUAAUAAUCUCCCUAUAAAAUAAAUCGAUUAUAUUAGAUGUGAAAAAACUACCUUAGGGAUAACAGCAUAAUUUUAUAAAUAAGUUUGUGACCUCGAUGUUGGACUAGGAAACUAGUAGGCUAGCCGCCUUCUAGGUAAGUUCUGUUCGAACUGAUUAUUCCU
This 443-nucleotide ribosomal RNA is filed under the name Limacia janssi. Its description in RNAcentral is "partial 16S ribosomal RNA". It matches the Rfam family "Bacterial large subunit ribosomal RNA", at positions 1828 to 2597 of the family's 2925-position model. Lineage: Eukaryota; Metazoa; Mollusca; Gastropoda; Nudibranchia; Polyceridae. The record is from RNAcentral.